GACGAACGCUGGCGGCGUGCCUAAUACAUGCAAGUUGAGCGAUGAAGCUUGGUGCUUGCCCCAAUUUGAAGAGCAGCGAACGGGUGAGUAACGCGUGGGGAAUCUGCCUUUGAGCGGGGGACAACAUUUGGAAACGAAUGCUAAUACCGCAUAAUAACUUUAAACAUAAGUUUUAAGUUUGAAAGAUGCAAUUGCAUCACUCAAAGAUGAUCCCGCGUUGUAUUAGCUAGUUGGUGAGGUAAAGGCUCACCAAGGCGAUGAUACAUAGCCGACCUGAGAGGGGGAUCGGCCACAUUGGGACUGAGACACGGCCCAAACGCCUACGGGAGGCAGCAGUAGGGAAUCUUCGGCAAGAGACGAAAGUCUGACCGAGCAACGCCGGGGGAGUGAAGAAGGGUGUCGGAUCGUAAAACUCGGUUGGUAGAGAAGAACGUUGGUGAGAGUGGAAAGCUCAUCAAGUGACGGUAACUACACAGAAAGGGACGGCUAACUACGUG
This 497-nucleotide ribosomal RNA is filed under the name uncultured bacterium. RNAcentral's name for it is "partial 16S ribosomal RNA". It matches the Rfam family "Bacterial small subunit ribosomal RNA", at positions 28 to 507 of the family's 1533-position model. The record is from RNAcentral.